CCUACGGGAGGCAGCAGUGGGGAAUAUUGGACAAUGGGGGGAACCCUGAUCCAGCCAUGCCGCGUGUGUGAAGAAGGCCUUUUGGUUGUAAAGCACUUUAAGCUAGGAGGAGGCUACUCUAGUUAAUACCUAGGGAUAGUGGACGUUACUCGCAGAAUAAGCACCGGCUAACUCUGUGCCAGCAGCCGCGGUAAU
This 195-nucleotide ribosomal RNA is filed under the name uncultured bacterium. RNAcentral's name for it is "partial 16S ribosomal RNA". It matches the Rfam family "Bacterial small subunit ribosomal RNA", at positions 338 to 524 of the family's 1533-position model. The record is from RNAcentral.